Molecule: long non-coding RNA, 373 nt
Filed under: Ananas comosus (pineapple)
Lineage: Eukaryota; Viridiplantae; Streptophyta; Magnoliopsida; Poales; Bromeliaceae
Description: long non-coding RNA (ACOM_LNC038309)
Source: RNAcentral
UAAAUCUAGAUCCGGACCCGAUGAAAUAUCCGAUAAUAAAUAAAUAAAAAAUUUUGAACUUUUAAAGUUGAGGGAUCAAUUUUAAUAGGAAUUAUAGACGAGGGAUCUCUAAGUAUUUUUAAGUAUUUUUAUCCUAGGGAAACCCUAGCCGCUCUUUUACUACUUUCUUUUUUCUAAUUUUUUUACUCUUUGUUUUUAACUCUUUAUUUUUUUUGUUUCAUUUCCGCCUAAGAGUUUUUUAUGAAACAAUAUUUCCAUCGUCGUUAUCAUUACCGAUAUUAAUCCUUUACAAGUAUGAUACAAGUGAGUUUUUUUUUCAAAUCCCCUCUCCAAUCAUAGUCGACAAUCUAGUUUUUUUUAAUGAAUAUUCUAU